RNAcentral lists this ribosomal RNA (1146 nucleotides) under Triticum aestivum (bread wheat). Its description in RNAcentral is "partial small subunit ribosomal RNA". The record is from RNAcentral. Lineage: Eukaryota; Viridiplantae; Streptophyta; Magnoliopsida; Poales; Poaceae.
AUGGAUCAGCGGCCGUCGCUCUUCUCGCCGUACCAGAUGCGCCGCUUCAGCCUCGCCCACCGGGUGGUGCUGGCGCCGCUGACGCGGUGCAGGGCCAUCGGCGGCCUGCCGGGGCCGGCGUUGGCGGAGUACUACGCACAGCGCUCCACCGACGGAGGGCUGCUCAUCUCAGAGGCCACUGCCAUCUCGCCGGCAGGGGCGGGGUUUCCUCGUGUCCCUGGAAUAUACAACCAAGAGCAGAUAUAUGCAUGGAAAAAGGUGGUAGAUGCUGUUCAUGCCAAGGGAAGCAUAUUUUUCUGCCAAUUGUGGCACGCCGGCAGGGCUUCUCAUCAAGCAUAUCUGCCAGACGGCGCUGCUCCAAUAUCGUCCACUGAGAAGCCGAUAUCAGCAAGCCGGAAGACACUGUUGCCUGAUGGUUCCUAUGGCACGUAUCCCGUGCCAAGGUGCCUCGCCACAUCGGAGAUACCGGAAGUAGUCGAGCAAUAUCGCCAAGCUGCCGUAAACGCCAUCGAAGCAGGCUUCGACGGUGUGGAGAUCCACGCUGCCCAUGGUUUCAUCAUCGACCAGUUCCUCAAGGACGGCGUCAACGACCGGACCGACGAGUACGGCGGGUCGCUCCCCAGCCGCUGUCGUUUCCUACUCGAGGUGACCCGGGCCACGGUGUCGGCCGUUGGACCGGACCGGGUCGCGGUCAGGGUGUCGCCCACCAUCGAUAACCUCGACGCCUACGACUCGGAUCCUGCGCGGCUCGGCAUGGCCGUCGUCGAGCGGCUGAACGCCCUCCAGGAAGAAGUUUCCAGCGGCGGUCAGCUUGCCUACCUCCACCUGUCGCGGGCAAUGCACGGCGGUGGCAACGCCGAGGAGGAGGGCCGUCUCAUGCGCGCCAUGCGGGACGCGUACCGUGGGACGUUCAUGUGCGGCGGUGGCUACACCCGGGAGCUCGGCAUGGAGUCGGUGGAGCGUGGCGACGCCGACCUGGUGUCGUACGGGAGGCACUUCAUCGCAAACCCGGACCUGGUGGAGCGGUUCAAGCUCGAUGCAGGACUCAACGAGUUCGUGAGGAAGACGUUCUACACUCCGGACCCCGUCGUGGGCUACACGGACUACCCGUUCCUCGACAGCCAGCCUGAAUCGCGCAUGCAGUAG